UACGGGGGGGGUAAGCGUUGUUCGGAAUUACUGGGCGUAAAGGGCUCGUAGGCGGCCAACUAAGUCAUACGUGAAAUCCCUCAGCUUAACCGGGGAACUGCGUCUGAUACUGGAUGGCUUGAGGUUGGGAGAGGGAUGCGGAAUUCCAGGUGUAGCGGUGAAAUGCGUAGAUAUCUGGAGGAACACCGGUGGCGAAGGCGGCAUCCUGGACCAAUUCUGACGCUGAGUGAGCGAAAGCCAGGGGAGCAAACGGG
Molecule: ribosomal RNA, 254 nt
Filed under: uncultured bacterium
Lineage: Bacteria
Description: partial 16S ribosomal RNA
Rfam family: Bacterial small subunit ribosomal RNA
Source: RNAcentral